AACGAACGCUUGCGGCGCGCCUAAUACAUGCAAGUCGAACGAGAAAGUGCUUUCGGGCACAAGUACAGUGGCGGACGGGUGAGGAACGCGUGGAUAACCUUCCCUUCAGCGGGGGAUAACUACUCGAAAGAGUAGCUAAUACCGCAUAAGACCACAACGCCUGCGGGCGAAGGGGUUAAAGGCUUCGGCCACUGAUGGAUGGGUCCGCGCCCGAUUAGCUAGUUGGUGAGGUAACGGCUUACCAAGGCGACGAUCGGUAGCUGGUCUCAGAGGAUGAUCAGCCACACUGGAACUGAGACACGGUCCAGACUCCUACGGGAGGCAGCAGUAGGGAAUAUUGCACAAUGGAGGAAACUCUGAUGCAGCGACGCCGCGUGAGCGAUGAAGGCCUUCGGGUUGUAAAGCUCUGUGAUAGGGGAAGAUAAUGACGGUACCCUAUCAGAAAGGACCGGCUAACUUCGUGCCAGCAGCCGCCGUAAAAC
RNAcentral lists this ribosomal RNA (482 nucleotides) under uncultured bacterium. RNAcentral describes it as "bacterial SSU rRNA". It matches the Rfam family "Bacterial small subunit ribosomal RNA", at positions 29 to 526 of the family's 1533-position model. The record is from RNAcentral.